GGAGUUUGAUCCUGACUCAGGAUGAACGCUGGCGGCGUGCUUAACACAUGCAAGUCGAACGAUCCUUCGGGAUAGUGGCGGACGGGUGAGUAACGCGUGGGAAUCUGCCCUCAGGAGGGGGAUAACGGCUGGAAACGGCCGCUAAUACCCCAUAUGCCGAGAGGUGAAAUGAAUUUCGCCUGAGGAUGAGCCCGCGUCUGAUUAGCUAGUUGGUGGGGUAAUGGCCUACCAAGGCAACGAUCAGUAGCUGGUCUGAGAGGAUGAUCAGCCACACUGGGACUGAGACACGGCCCAGACUCCUACGGGAGGCAGCAGUGGGGAAUUUUCCGCAAUGGGCGAAAGCCUGACGGAGCAACGCCGCGUGAGGGAUGAAGGCCUCUGGGCUGUAAACCUCUUUUCUCAAGGAAGAAGACCUGACGGUACUUGAGGAAUAAGCCACGGCUAAUUCCGUGCCAGCAGCCGCGGUAAUACGGGAGUGGCAAGCGUUAUCCGGAAUUAUUGGGUGUAAAGCGUCCGCAGGCGGCCUUGUAAGUCUGUUGUUAAAGCGUGGAGCUCAACUCCAUUUAAGCAAUGGAAACUACAAGGCUGGAGUGUGGUAGGGGCAGAGGGAAUUCCCGGUGUAGCGGUGAAAUGCGUAGAUAUCGGGAAGAACACCAGUGGCGAAGGCGCUCUGCUGGGCCAUAACUGACGCUCAUGGACGAAAGCCAGGGGAGCGAAAGGGAUUAGAUACCCCUGUAGUCCUGGCCGUAAACGAUGAACACUAGGUGUCGGGGGAAUCGACCCCCUCGGUGUCGUAGCCAACGCGUUAAGUGUUCCGCCUGGGGAGUACGCACGCAAGUGUGAAACUCAAAGGAAUUGACGGGGGCCCGCACAAGCGGUGGAGUAUGUGGUUUAAUUCGAUGCAACGCGAAGAACCUUACCAGGGUUUGACAUCCUGCGAACCCCUGAGAAAUCGGGGGGUGCCUUCGGGAGCGCAGAGACAGGUGGUGCAUGGCUGUCGUCAGCUCGUGUCGUGAGAUGUUGGGUUAAGUCCCGCAACGAGCGCAACCCACGUCUUUAGUUGCCAGCAUUCAGUUGGGCACUCUAGAGAGACCGCCGGUGAUAAACCGGAGGAAGGUGUGGAUGACGUCAAGUCAUCAUGCCCCUUACAUCCUGGGCUACACACGUACUACAAUGCUACGGACAAAGGGCAGCAAGCUCGCGAGAGUUAGCAAAUCCCAUAAACCGUGGCUCAGUUCAGAUCGUAGGCUGCAACUCGCCUACGUGAAGGAGGAAUCGCUAGUAAUCGCAGGUCAGCAUACUGCGGUGAAUACGUUCCCGGGCCUUGUACACACCGCCCGUCACACCAUGGAAGUUGGCCAUGCCCGAAGUCGUUACUCCAACCCUUGUGGAGGAGGACGCCGAAGGUGGGGCUGAUGACUGGGGUGAAGUC
This 1432-nucleotide ribosomal RNA is filed under the name metagenome. RNAcentral describes it as "bacterial SSU rRNA". It matches the Rfam family "Bacterial small subunit ribosomal RNA". The record is from RNAcentral.